AGUUGGAUAGUUCUAAUGUAAAGAUUAUGAACGAGUCUCGAAUCUGCGGAUAGCAUGAGGCGCAAGGUGCCUGGUUGGAGAAGUGAUGGAGAUGCCUGAAGAGUUUAAGCGUGGAGACAAGGUGUAGUCAAGAAGAAUCUGGAAAAGUGCUCAGGGUGCCCACUUGGAGAAAUGCUCUGCCUAGACUGUUUUUCGAGAGCUAUGCAGAAUGUUGGAUCCUGGAAAGCCAUCUUUCACUUGUGGAAAAAGGAAAACUAGCAUCAUUUUACAAGGGUCUGGUAAAACCACAACACCUACCAAAUAUGCUCAUUAUCAUCAAAAGAAAGGCUGGAAACCGGCUCUAGUUUGUGCUGAUACAUUUAGAGCUGGCGCAUUUGAUCAGUUGAAGAAAAAAGUGGCUCCAGAAAGUCUGCUGAUGGCAUUAAGGCGAUGCAGCUGCUCGAGACUUGCUUGAAUAGGCAGCACCUUCACCAUCUUCGGCAAUACUCCAAGAAUUACUGACAUCAACAAAAGCCAUUUGGAAAGCUAAAUCUGACAAUAAUGAGAGCUUGAACUCUGGAGUAUGGACUUGAAGAUUCAGCAAUGGUUCCGUAUAUGGAAAGAAGCACUUCAGCAUCUCAGUCUUCAACCUCAGUGUUGAAAAUAAAACUUGGAAAUACGGUACUGAUGUCCCUGGAGGAUGAUCAAAUCAUAAACAAAGGUGAGUUGAAUUACUUUGAAUGUGUUUUUAGUGUCGAGGAAACUGCCUCAGUUCAUUCUGUCAAAUAGAUGCUGGUAACAAGCAGAACCUCCAAUUUUGGAAGCAGAGUAUACCAAAAUGGAAUUCAAAUUUACAAAUUGUAUCCACUGGUAAUGAAUAAGGAAAAAUAGCUAUGGCAUGGUUGACCCCUCAACUCCGAAAACCAUACAAAGGCCCCCUUGUGGGGAGGCACAAAAUAGGGUGAAAGUGAUGCGUUUUUAUAGUUGAGAGAGGUCAAAAUGCACGGAUUCGUAGAUGAUGGGGAAAGAUGAUAUUCACAAAUGCUUUAGGGAGUCUUAGGUAGUGUUUGGUUCACCGGAAUUAAGUAGAAUGAAAUGAUCAUUCCAUCAAAAAUAUUCAUUCCUAUGUUUGGUUAGCUUAAAAAAUUAAUAAAAAAUGCAUUACAAAUGAA
This is a non-coding RNA of Camellia sinensis, 1151 nucleotides long. The record is from RefSeq and is a predicted model, not a curated record. NCBI's taxonomy places the organism in Eukaryota, Viridiplantae, Streptophyta, Magnoliopsida, Ericales, Theaceae.